This 207-nucleotide non-coding RNA is filed under the name Trichoderma atroviride IMI 206040. Its description in RNAcentral is "Eukaryotic large subunit ribosomal RNA". It matches the Rfam family "Eukaryotic large subunit ribosomal RNA", at positions 2123 to 2337 of the family's 3401-position model. Lineage: Eukaryota; Fungi; Ascomycota; Sordariomycetes; Hypocreales; Hypocreaceae. The record is from Rfam by way of RNAcentral.
ACCGGGGCGGUUUGGCUGAUUUAGAACUGCUACAGAUCAAAAAAUUGCCGUCGAUGCAGUGCAAGUUCUGCCCAGGGCUCUCAAUGUCAAAAUAAAUAAUUCAACCAAGCACUGAUGAGCGGGGGAAAUAAUUUUGACUCUCAAGGUAGCCAAAUGCUUCGUCAUCGAGUUCCCUCGUAACGCGUAUGAAUGGUUAACAAGAUUCCC